This 57-nucleotide transfer RNA is filed under the name Dipodomys ordii (Ord's kangaroo rat). It matches the Rfam family "tRNA", at positions 8 to 63 of the family's 71-position model. From Rfam's summary of the family: Transfer RNA (tRNA) molecules are approximately 80 nucleotides in length. Their secondary structure includes four short double-helical elements and three loops (D, anti-codon, and T loops). The record is from Rfam by way of RNAcentral. Lineage: Eukaryota; Metazoa; Chordata; Mammalia; Rodentia; Heteromyidae.
UGGCUCAGUGGUAGAGCACUUGCCUUGUAUGCAUGAGGCCCUGGGUUAGAUUCCUGG